Long non-coding RNA from Cydia splendana, 3113 nucleotides. RefSeq lists it as uncharacterized. NCBI's taxonomy places the organism in Eukaryota, Metazoa, Arthropoda, Insecta, Lepidoptera, Tortricidae. The record is from RefSeq and is a predicted model, not a curated record. The transcript is spliced from 4 exons.
CCUAAAACAAACAAAUUAUUAUGGACAUCACAGACAAAUACAUGACAUGACACAAUUAACAUAGUACCAACAUUAGUGAAAAAGAGCGGAAAGCGGAUGACAGAUUGUUAAGGCAAGCAACAUAGCGGAUGAAAUGGAGGAAAAAACGUAGAGAUUAAAUUAUAUAGAUAGAUAGAAAAUAAUAGUAAGACGAGCAGUAAGAAUUAAAGUUUUAUAUUAUGUUCCUGUACAUACUUAAUAAGGAUAGAAGUUAGGGGCGGGUCCAUUAGAGUGAGAACUUCCAAGAUGGCAACAGCCUCGCCUGUAAAAAUGGAUGAUUGAGGAGGGCACUUAAACAUCAAGACAAUGCUAUAUUUUGGAACCACCACUGCUGCUCCAACACAAUUUGCGGAAUUAUUUUUUGAUGCGUCAGUAAACACCGGUAAGUAGUCUUCCCACUUUUCUAAAAGUUUUUUAAAUUUGCAGUUAGCUCCCGGGUCAUUUUUAAAAAUUCCAAGGUCUAAAAUAACACUAGGGGUGUAAAUUAAAGUUUCAAAUUUUGUUUCAAAUAAGGGGUUUGUUCCUGAUUUAUAUAAUAUGGGGUUUAUACGAUUUAAUUUAGAAUAAGUAAUAAUAAUUUUUGGAAACUCCUUAUGCAUCCAAUAUGGGUUUUCAGUGACCAAUGAAGCAAGAGCCCGCAAGCGUGUAAUCAGCAAGUGAUUGGAGUUGGAGAUAGCUCUUAUGAGGAACCUGUCAGCAAGAUAUUGUCUACGCAGCGCCAGAGGAGGCUCCACACAUUCUACUUGCAUGGCAUUUUUUGGGGAAGAUCUCAUGGCACCAAAUGAGGUAUUCCACUCAUUUUCCGAUCCAAGAUGAUACCCAGGAAUUUGGUUGAUUCGUUAUUGGGAAUGCUUUCUUCACCAUAAUGAACAUCUGCAGUUGGCAUGUUCCUUUUGCGACUGAAGAUCACAGCACAGCUCUUGGAAGGUGACAAAGACAGACCAUGCUCUUCAAGCCAAUCCUUCAGAAGAGGUUCAGGAGCCGGGGAUGGAAGAACAGAUGAGGGCUUGGAAAUAACAAUGGGAAAGUGAUCGCUGCCAUAGGACUGACGAAGCACAGUCCAAGAUAACAAUGAGGCCAAAUUAGGGGAGCAAGCUGACAAGUCGGGAACGGAUUGUGGGUUCUGGCCUGGAUAGACUCGAUGUGUGGGCGAUCCGUCGUUUAUAACGCAAACAUUGAUUUCAUCGAAGAUUUCUAACAAGAGUGACGAAAACCCGUCCGAAUGGUAUGAUCCCCAAGAAAUGUUAUGUGAAUUAAAAUCGCCUAAAACUAUAUGAGGAGGAGGGACAGAGGUUAGGAUAGAAGAUAAUUCAGGAAUAAGGUCAAGGUCAGGGUGAGGAAUAUAUAUUGAAAUGAAAUUAAUGCCCAUAACCUUAGCGGCUACGGCAUUAAUUUCAUUUCCAUGAGGAGGGAGGGGAAUUUGAGAGAAGGGGUAGGAUUGCUUGAUCAACAGAGCGCAUCCUGCACGUCCAUCGACGCGGUCAUCCCGGAGGCAUGAGAAGCCCGGGAGUCUAAACCGAGACCCGGGCCUCAGCCACGUCUCCGAGAUGGCCGCGACAGACACAGAAUGGUCAUUGAUCAGCUGGAUGAGAUCUGUUUUUUUAGGAAAAAUACUCCGGCUAUUCCAUUGAAGAAAUGUGGCCUGGCGGUCCGUGGUGGUGAGGGAAGGAGAGUUUUUCUACUAGGGUCAACAUUAUAGGUGCAACGUCGUUCGGUAAUAUAUCACUCCAUUUGGCGAUGAUAUUAGUCAACAGUUUUAGGAGGAGCUCCAUGAGGUCCUCAUUUGGAGUUUCUCUGGUGUAUGAGUUAUUGAGGGCUUGUCCGUUGGGAAUUUGGGAUGGAGGGGGUCGGACUAUAUUGUUAUGGGCUUGUUGGUCAUAACCUGGGGACAAGGAAGGUCUUGACCGAGGUGACAAAAAUACUGUUUUGCGGUGAGAGGUUCUGGGAGGGGUAGAAGGUAAAUCUGUUAAGUCAAAGGUUGAUUGUGAUGGGGGGGAAGGUUCUCUUGUGGGGCCAAACAUUAUAUUUGCAACGUCCGCAUAGGGUCUACGACUAACAACUGGGACUUGUGUGGAUGCUUCAGCAUAUGAAAUGUUUCUUUCAGACAUUAUCAGUUUGAUGGACUUUUGUCGGUGAUGUUCUGGGCAGUUUCUGUCAGUGGCAUAGUGUCGGGCAGUGCAAAAAAUACAGGAUAUGUGUUCGGGAGCUACAUUACACCCAUCACCCGGGUGCUUUUGGGCACAUUUGUAGCAGCGGGCAUCUGAGCGACAUUGAGUCUGAAUGUGUCCAAAUCUAAGGCAUUUUCGGCAUUGAAUUGUUGGCAGUAGGUAUACUUCCACCACUAGAGAAGUAUAAUAAGCAAAUAUUCUAGAUGGCAAAGUUUGACCUUCAAAAGUAACUACUACAGUCUGGGUUGGAACCCAGGAUGGAGAUCCAUCUUCCUUAGUCACUUUCCUUUGUAGGCGACGCGCUUUCAGAAUCCUACCUUUACCUUCUAUUAAAUUUGUACCCUUAACGAAAUCAGUCAUGGACCAAUCCGUUGGAACUCCUCGAACUAGACCCAUACGAGAAAUGUUGUAUGUUGGUAUGUUUGCUGAUAGUUUGUAUUUAUCUAACAUAGGGUUUUUUAAGAUAGAGUUGGCAUCAACGGCUUUAUUGAAUGUUACUGAAACUCUAUUGCGGCCUACAGAUUUUAUCCCGUCCUUCUUAAUAUUUGUGACAUUUGCCUGUGUUAAGAGCGUACCUACAUAGAUGGCUUUCAGUGUUGACCUGGAGUCAGCAGAAGAUUCCUUUGAGAUGUGAACCACAAAUGGGCCAUCGUCGUCUGCAUUGUAUCCUCUGCCUUCUGUGUCAAGAUCAGGGUGUUUGUACAAAAGUGGGUUAGCAUUCUCAUCGCGUUGUUUAUCUACGUGGGGGUUGGUGGCAUCCUCAUUUACUAUUGCUAUUACCUGUUCCGAGAUCUCUUUGUUGACGUUGGUUGUAAUUUUUUUAAGAGCCGGUUCUUGUGGGCUACUGACCGGUGAUAAGUCUAAUGUUUGCAAGUUUCUUUUUCUAGAAUUAUUUUCAAUGUCCAU